UNGCGGCAGGCCUAACACAUGCAAGUCGAGCGGCGCGCGGGGGGCAACCCUGGCGGCGAGCGGCGGACGGGUGAGGAACACAUCGGAAUCUACCUUGUCGUGGGGGAUAACGUAGGGAAACUUACGCUAAUACCGCAUACGACCUACGGGUGAAAGCGGGGGAUCGCAGGACCUCGCGCUAUUGGAGCGGCCGAUGUCAGAUUAGGUUGUUGGUGGGGUAAAGGCCUACCAAGCCUGCGAUCUGUAGCUGGUCUGAGAGGACGACCAGCCACACUGGGACUGAGACACGGCCCAGACUCCUACGGGGGGCAGCAGUGGGGCAUUUUGGACAAUGGGCGCAAGCCUGAUCCAGCCAUGCCGCGUGCGGGAAGAAGGCCUUCGGGUUGUAAACCGC
RNAcentral lists this ribosomal RNA (394 nucleotides) under uncultured bacterium. Its description in RNAcentral is "bacterial SSU rRNA". It matches the Rfam family "Bacterial small subunit ribosomal RNA", at positions 37 to 433 of the family's 1533-position model. The record is from RNAcentral.